GGUAAGAUGGCCGAGUGGUUUAAGGCGGCAGAUUUAAGCGUCUUGGCAUUUCCAAGAUCCCUGCUGACGAAAGUCGCCUGGGUUCGAACCCCAGUCUUACCA
Molecule: non-coding RNA, 102 nt
Organism: Aspergillus ellipticus CBS 707.79
Lineage: Eukaryota; Fungi; Ascomycota; Eurotiomycetes; Eurotiales; Aspergillaceae
Source: the annotation of a GenBank genome assembly